AUUACGCAAGCUAUAGCUCCUUCGGGGGUUAUUGCAUCCACCCUUUGUCUACUUGUACCUCUUGUUGUUUCCUCGGCAGGCUUGCCUGCCGCUAGGAACCCCAUAAACCCUUGUAUUUAAAGUAUCAAAAUCUCUGAUAACUAUUUAAAUUAUUA
RNAcentral lists this unclassified non-coding RNA (155 nucleotides) under uncultured Ascomycota. RNAcentral describes it as "sequence contains ITS1". Lineage: Eukaryota; Fungi; Ascomycota. The record is from RNAcentral.